RNAcentral lists this ribosomal RNA (497 nucleotides) under uncultured bacterium. RNAcentral's name for it is "partial 16S ribosomal RNA". It matches the Rfam family "Bacterial small subunit ribosomal RNA", at positions 28 to 507 of the family's 1533-position model. The record is from RNAcentral.
GAUGAACGCUGGCGGCGUGCCUAAUACAUGCAAGUCGAGCGAACGGACGAGAAGCUUGCUUCUCUGAUGUUAGCGGCGGACGGGUGAGUAACACGUGGAUAACCUACCUAUAAGACUGGGAUAACUUCGGGAAACCGGAGCUUAUACCGGAUAAUAUUUUGAACCGCAUGGUUCAAAAGUAAAAGACGGUCUUGCUGUCACUUAUAGAUGGAUCCGCGCUGCAUUAGCUAGUUGGUAAGGUAACGGCUUACCAAGGCAACGAUGCAUAGCCGACGUGAGAGAGUGAUCGGCCACACUAGAACUGAGACACGGACCAGACUCCUGCGAGAGGCAGCAGUAGGGAAUCUUCCGCAAUGGGGGAAAGCCUGACGGAGCAACGCCGCGUGAGUGAUGAAGGUCUUCGGAUCGUAAAACUCUGUUAUUGGGGAAGAACAUAUGUGUAAGUAACUGAACACAUCUUGACGGUACCUAAUCAGAAAGCCACGGCUAACUACGUG